UUCCAUGAAUAACUUCAAACUAGAUUUUUGUUGGUCUCUUUCCUAAAUCAAGGAAUGAAGCUAUGAGCAGAAGGAUACAUUUCAUCUUUAACCUUCAAACAAUGAACAAAAGCUACAUUUGUCCAAAUCCUAAAAGAAAGCAGCUGCUGGUUAUAUGAAAAAUAACUUCCUGUGGUUAAAUUCAAGCUGCCGCCCAGCCACCAACCACUUUUUAUCAGGACAAAUUGAGAAGAAAGUUGCAACUGUGUUGAAGUCAUCGGCAGAGAUAUGGUUUAUUGAUCUAACUUCUUGAUGCUUACACAAUGAUAUAAUAGAAUACAAUUUGUGGCUGAUAUAGGAUUGUAGUGUGACAGUCAGGAAAACUCCAUAAGCCGCAUCUAUAUGAUGAGACCUGUAUCCCAACACAGUCUACUGGACUAUAUCUCAUAGCUACUGAGGAGGAGACAUCAUCUAACAGGGACAUUUGGACACCACUCGAACCACUAAUAACACAGAAGGUCCCCCAAGAGGAACAACCGUUAGCUUGAAUAGAUGUAAAAUGUCAUAUGUGUUUUCUUUUUUCAACUCUUUUCUAUUACACUGUAUAAAAAGGAAAAAAAUGUGAACGUAUCAUAAAUAAAGAAUAUACAAAACAAAAAGAUGCAAAUCGAAAUUCAUUGUCCUCUGCUGAAUACUAAUAUAUAGGUUUCCCAACCAAUGUAGAGUCACCCUGUUGUGCUAUUAGGUAGGAUUUUCAGCUGAAACAAAGAAAUGAAAAAUCUUAGGUAGAAAAAUUAUAUCCUUACAGAAUUACUAUACUUACGCCUAUAUCAUAAUAACAAUGCUCUGCUGUGUGUAGUGAUGAGCGAAUCUGUCCCGUUUUGCUGAAAAAUUCUCUGAAAUAUUUGUGAAAUGGCGAAAAAUCCACGAAACACAGGUGACUUUUUUGACUCACUCAACUAAUUUGAUGUUACGGCGACUUUUUCCUCAUUCACUGAAUUGAUCUAUGAUUUGUUCAGACAGUGUAUGCUGGUUAUCAAAUGUAGACCACGCGUAGUGCCAGUUUUGUAAAAAAAUGCAGAAUUUCCUAGUGGAUCCAUGCCUGGUGCAAUACAUUCGCUCAUUGCUAGCUGUGUGUGAUGCACUGUGCAUUUUUAGCUGUGUAGGUCUGGUCUAGGAGACAAAAUCAUUAUUUACUCUCAGGUCUUCUUCUAAAUAACCACAGGUAGUAUUGCAUGAAUGAUCAGAGUUUGUCUUCUAUGCACAACUUCCAGAUUAUGCGUGGUCUACAUUUGAGAACCUUACUAGAAGUGUAAUUUAAUUUGCCUAUGGGAUGGGGUAUAUAUAAACACUAUGCUAAGUGCUAGAGGCCCUCACUUUUGCAGAGGUAAAAAUAAGAUCAGAGCUGUAAUAUGUACAAGGCACUUUAUGCACCUUCCAAGGGCCUUCCCAGUACUAGGUGAGCUAGUUAUGGCACAAAAGAAACAAUGUAUUUAGCUGCAGUCCAGGUGGUGCAAGGCAGCAACACAGAAACAUGUGUCUCUUAGGGAGGGUGGUAUUGGAUGGAAGGAGCCUCAAAUAAUUAGCCUGCCUAGGGUUCAUAUAUCAGUCUAUAAAUGCUGUUCUUGGUAUACCUCAUAAUUUUGAAAAACAAAGCUGCUCCUUCUUUUAUCUUUUGUUAAGGCAUAGCAUGCACGGGCUGA
Xenopus tropicalis (tropical clawed frog) is the source of this 1682-nucleotide long non-coding RNA. RefSeq lists it as uncharacterized. The record is from RefSeq and is a predicted model, not a curated record. The transcript has 3 exons. NCBI's taxonomy places the organism in Eukaryota, Metazoa, Chordata, Amphibia, Anura, Pipidae.